Molecule: RNA transcript, 3927 nt
Organism: Ruditapes philippinarum (Manila clam)
Lineage: Eukaryota; Metazoa; Mollusca; Bivalvia; Venerida; Veneridae
Exons: 3
Source: RefSeq, a predicted model, not a curated record
GUUACCUGUCUCGAAGCGGGGAAAAGUUGGUUUAAUAAUUCACUUUUAUUACACAUAGCGUAGGUUGAUUAUCCCUUUAAAUACUCAAGGAUCAGACUAGUAUUUCAGUGUCGGUUUUAAUGUUAGUAGGCACUCACUUAAUUUUGGUACGCAGUUAUAACUUACUCUUUGAUUGUUUAACUUGGAAACUUUGAUUAUAAAUAAAUGUUGAACUUACUGUAAAUGCAUAUCCUAGUAAACAAUAAUUAAACUGAAUGACAUUUGAAUAUACACUGUGUUGACUUAUUGUAUUUGAGUUUAUUCAGAUAACCGGUUACAACACAAGCGGCGUUUUGGUGCUCUAGUGACUUCAGGAUUCGUUUUUGCCGACCAGGGGUUUUUCGUGGAUCACAGCGCAGACAUACACUAUCUAACGGUUGACGAUCAAUUGCAGAGGACCCAGACAAGAGGGGCGACAAGAUGAUCUUACUUUUCUGUUUAAUCGUUUGUGCAAGGGCUAUGACAGACUAUGAAAAUGUUAUAUUUUCUAAAGUGAAUGAAAUUUCAAUAACUAAAGCCCAUUGGUCUGCUAUUCUCGUUUAUGAUACAAAACAAUUUUCACAUUAUCUUAAUCAGAUAUCUGGGAAUAUUAUUUCUAUAAAUCAGACAUUACUUAACAUGAAACAACAUUAUACCACCACAACAGAUGAAGAUGACUUUCAACCCUACUUAACAACAAUUUCAGACAUGCAGUUAGAUAUCAAUUCUUUACGUCAUACUUACGAUAAUAUUUUAACAGAAUAUACAGAUUUUCUGACUUUAAGUAAUAUUCAAAAGAGAAGUAUUUUUGGCCUAGGAAAAGCUCUUAGAUUUCUCUUCGGCACAGCUGACGACGGAGACUUACAAAAUGUAAAACGUAAUGUUAAUAAAUUAGCUAAUACACAGAAAAAUAUUAUUCACAUUGUCGAAGAUUCACUUUCUAUCUUAAACGUUUCACAAUCACAUAUUUUACAAAAUCACAAUAAAAUCAAUGAAAUCAUUCAUUCUUUAAAGGCUAUUGAAGCUCAUGUAAAAAGAUGGAAAAUUGCUUUUGAACGCUCUUUAGGUAGAUUCAAAACAUACUCUCUAAAUAAUAAUCACAUUAUGUUGGUAUUAGAUGAUAUUAAAUUCGCUAUUUCACUGGCUAAAUCACACUUUAACGAUUUUAAAGAUAAAGUGGAUAUAUUAAGUUUGGGUUUGGUUAACCCAACAUUAAUAUCACCUUCUUAUUUACUCCAGUUAUUAUCAGAUAUAAAACUCCAUUCUCCUAAAAAUUACGAUUUACCGGCCGAUCCGAGGUCUAAUCUUUUCGAGUUUUAUAAACAUUUAAAAAGCUCAACUAUGUUUUAUAAUGAUCAUUUGCUUAUUCAAAUACAAAUUCCUAUCACAGAAUUAAACGAAAAAUAUGAGGUGUUUCGUGUUUUUAAUAUAGAAACUGCUUACAUGCCUAAUAAUAAUUCGGAUCAAAAGGUUAUUGCUAAAUACAAAUUAGAUUAUGACGGUUUAAUUUACAACAAAGAAAGAACAAAAUUCUCUGUCUUAACAUCGUCUGAACUAGAUGAUUGUCAAAAUAACUUCUUAAAAUAUUGUGAUAUUGCUUCUCCAAUAUAUCAACGUAGUGUUACGAAUAUGUGUAUUUCAGCAUUAUUCCUUAAAGAUGGAAAUGCUAUAAGGGCAAAUUGUAAAAUAAUGAUUAAUACGAAUGCAUUUUUACCUAAGGCGGUUAACAUUUUAGAUGGACGCUGGCUUAUUAGCACCACAAAGGAUUUAAAAUUUGUUUUAGUAUGUCAUCCAGCCCGCACAACCAGACAAGAAAUAGUGGCUAAAGCGCCAAUUUCGGUCUUAAAUUUAGAACAAAACUGUAAAGCCUUCAAUAAUCAUCUGAUCCUUACUCCUUGGUUUCAGAAAAACUCUUCUUCUAGAGUCUUAAAUAAUAAACUGCAUACAUCUUCUCUAUUUUGGUCUAACAUAACUACGAACCAUUUGUGGAAAGAACUGCAUAUUAACUUACAUAACUUUUCGAAUUUUAAGAUCCCAAAUGAACUUAAACCUAUUACCAACAUACCUUUGGACGCAUUAGUAUCUAGACUUAAUUACCUUAAACAUAUUCAAUUAGAACAAACAACAUCAUUUCCUCUUUGGGCUAUUAUUCUGAUCAUUUCUGGGGCUUUCGUUGUAGUUAUUGCCAUAUUGUUAAGUAUAUAUUUUUUUCGGAAACGCAUAUUAAAACAUAAGCAACUGCCGCAAAUCUGUCAUGGCUCACGGUCACAAUUGAACAUGAAAGGCGAGAAUAAAACUCUAUACAAGCUCGUGUCAAACUUGUCGGAGAUGCGUCAGGAGGACAACGAAUUACUCAACAAAGCAGAUGUACCCCAAGACACUAUUUUGUCAGCCUUAUAUCCGAAACUGUCAUAAACUCAGUGCAAAACAAAGUCAUAUAGACAUUAACUUUCUCUUAACAACAGGAAUAAGUAUAUAGUAAAAUGCAUUACAGUGUCAACUAAGUCAACAUAAAUUAUCGAAACGACAUAUCAAGUCUAGACUCAAAUCCAUAAACAACUCAUUUUGGACAAAGCAGCAAAUAAGACUAAGCCUAUAUAUACUGCUCCAUAGUGCCUUUCGACACAGUUAUUCAUCCAUUCGGAUACUUUACAGAUCAAAUUCUUUUGUUCAUCGUGCUCAACUUGUUAAAAUUUUGUUUCAAAAUGGUUUUUAUCAGGCGUUUCAACAUUGGAAUGUUGUUCAGGGCCAUGGUCCUCGAACACUUAGUGAGGAUUGUAUAUAGGGCAGUGUUAGACAUUUUAGAGCCAAAUUGCGAACUGUGCGAAAAUGUAAGUGACUGUAGUCACGAGAUACGGCAAAUUGACGUGAUCACACAUUUCUCAAACAUCUUCGAGACUUCGGUCAACAUUAUGGCAGAAGCUCGUGUAACACACUUGUUCCUGAGACGGGCAGAAUUUCACAUACAGAAUACAGUCACCGGGAGAGGACAGGACGUCUGUUACCAUUGCUUAAGGAUGGAGCUAACCCCUGCCACUCUCGAUGAACUACAGCAGGUUUUUGGUAUUGCGGGAUCGUAUAAUUUUAUAUAUUAUUAUGUUCUUUGUAGUCAAAAUAACAAAAUUAAUUAUCAUAUAAUUCAGUUAUCACUUGUCAUAUUCUCAACAGAAAGUAAUUAAUGAACUUAUGUUAAUUCAACUAGUAUUCUUUGUAAAACGUUGUAUUUUAUACAAGUUGUUAAAAUUGUGUGUUUUAAAAUUUUAUAAUUUCAUUUCUUUGUCUUAAAUAUAUGUUUAACUUUUGUUUUCCUUUCGUUUCGUUUCAGGUAUACGAAUGUAUAACCUCUACGCAUAUCGUUUUCAAAAGAAAAAAAAAAACAAAACAACAACACAGAUGUUCUUGAAACUUGCCGUUGGUUUACAACAUAAAGCAAAAGUGAAAAUUGUGUUUUUUGUUAUAGUUCUGUGUUCAUAGAAAUUUUUUCUAUUCUAAGCAAUUUUUCGGAGGUUCUACAUUCGUGUCAUAGUUUUAUGAAAAAAAAAAGUGACAUAUUUACUAGGACUUGUUUUAAACAGAAAUAUAUUCCUUAUUAACAUGUGUGAUGUUGUGAACAAAAUAUAUAUGAAAAUCUAGGACACUCAUUUUCUCGAAAUACUUAUCAAAUAUCUCAUUAUCUACAUGUGUAAAUGUCUAAUUACCUUGGUUUCUAUUCUGAAUAUGUUAUACUACUAUAUGAAACUAUAAAUAUAUAUAUAAAAUAAGUCAAAUUGUGCUAGUAUACUUUGAAAAUCUAUUAUAAUUAGAAUUGUAAUUGUUAUCAUUACCAUUAUAUCAAAAUAUAAUAAAAUACUAUACAGUUGUUAUAAAUGGAUGAAACAUAAACACCAUUAAAAUCUGUUAGCCUUUAGA